GUGGUACGUAAAUUAAUGAGGCCUCGC
RNAcentral lists this small RNA (27 nucleotides) under Bombyx mori (domestic silkworm). Its description in RNAcentral is "ovarian small RNA-17930". Lineage: Eukaryota; Metazoa; Arthropoda; Insecta; Lepidoptera; Bombycidae. The record is from RNAcentral.